RNAcentral lists this long non-coding RNA (859 nucleotides) under Sus scrofa (pig). RNAcentral describes it as "lncRNA (ENSSSCG00055024567.1)". Lineage: Eukaryota; Metazoa; Chordata; Mammalia; Artiodactyla; Suidae. The record is from RNAcentral.
UUUUCCCUGUGGGGUUGAGUUCGCUGGGUGCCUCGCUCCUGCUCGCGGGGGGGCCGGGGCUGGGGCGCGGGCGACAGAGCCUUUCUCACUUCUCAAAGAUGUUCGCGGGAAGCGUAACUGCAGGGCGGCGGGCGGCUGCGCUCACACAAGCAUUGGGGCGGGCGCUGUGGCCGGGUGUUGGGGGAUUGGGCCGGAGGCCCGAGGACCAUGUGCAUGUUUGUCGGGAGCCUGAAGUCCCUGCAGGUCAGGGCCCUGCCCCAGGCUAGCCGCUGGGAGUGAGCAGCCCCGAGAGAAGCGGGUGGCAGGCCCGCUCAGGGCUUUGGGAACCGGAGCAGCAUCCUUCCUCGAGGCUGCAGAUUACCAAGGUGACCAUGUGAUCACCAACAGCUGAGCAUGGCCUGCUCAGAAGGUGCCUCGUGUGCAUCCCACCAGGUGUUGAGCGCUGAAGAAUGAUCAGCAGAGCAGAGUUUUAAAGCUGCCAGCGGUGGCCCAGAGACCUCAGCCCAAGAGGCUGUGCUGCAGCAGAGGCAGAAUUCGAAGGCCCAAGGACCAGUCCUGGUCAUCCAUCCACUUGGACUCUGAAAACCGGGCCUUGACAGUUGGUGUAGAAAUGAUGCUCACCUCGUGCUGAGGGGACAUAAUUGCCACUGAGGGAACCAAGAAAUGGACUUGUCAACCUUUCCCUGGGACAGGCACUUUCGGUGUUAGUAGAUUCAUGAGUUUUUCAUCAUCGUCUCUUAACCAAAAGGAGCUUUUGCAUUUUAAAAUACUGUAAAUUUGUUAUAUUUGGUGUUUUAAACUGGAAAUGUCACAAAAUGUCCAUGCAGUUACAGUAAACACAAUGAAAGGAUGGUCUUUG